This 283-nucleotide long non-coding RNA is filed under the name Lathyrus oleraceus (garden pea). Its description in RNAcentral is "Pisum sativum (pea) long non-coding RNA (PSAT_LNC011267)". Lineage: Eukaryota; Viridiplantae; Streptophyta; Magnoliopsida; Fabales; Fabaceae. The record is from RNAcentral.
AACUUACCCGUGAGCAUAGAGUAUUCGUGAACCCCUUUGAGCUUAAACAGUUGAAUCUCAGCUUGAAAUAAGGUGAGAUGUCAAAAUCUUUUUUCUUGAAACCCUGAAAUUUUUGAUAAUUGUUCUUUUGCCGUAAAAAGUCAAGAGCAUUCACUUAGGGUGAGUAAAAGAUAAGUUGGAGAGAACGAAAAUGAGAAUCGGUAGGUGCCACAACUCUUGAAUAACCGAGCAAGCAUUGAAAAAAAAAUAUUAUUUAGAAAAGAGAAACAUCUGUUUUGUGAAU